UGAUCCAGCAAUGCCGCGUGUGUGAAGAAGGCCUUCGGGUUGUAAAGCACUUUUGUUAGGGAGGAAAGUCUGGUAGCUAAUAACUGCUAGAUCUGACGUUACCUAAAGAAUCAGCACCGGCUAACUCUGUGCCAGCAGCCGCGGUAAUACAGAGGGUGCAAGCGUUAAUCGGAAUUACUGGGCGUAAAGGGUCUGUAGGCGGAUUAUUAAGUCGGAUGUGAAAUCCCCGGGCUCAACCUGGGAACGGCAUUCGAUACUGGUAGUCUAGAGUGUGCAAGAGGAUGGGGGAAUUCCUGGUGUAGCAGUGAAAUGCGUAGAGAUCAGGAGGAACAUCAAUGGCGAAGGCACCUUUCUGGGGCAACACUGACGCUGAGAGACGAAAGCGUGGGGAGCAAACAGGAUUAGAUACCCUGGUAGUCCACGCCCUAAACGAUGUCAACUAACUGUUCGGAGUCACUAAGAUUCUGAGUAGUGAAGCUAACGCGAUAAGUUGACCGCCUGGGGAGUACGGCCGCAAGGUUGAAACUCAAAGAAAUUGACGGGGGCCCGCACAAGCGGUGGAGUAUGUGGUUUAAUUCGAUGCAACGCGAAGAACCUUACCCGGUCUUGACAUGGUAGGAAUCUUGUAGAGAUACGAGAGUGCCUUCG
RNAcentral lists this ribosomal RNA (648 nucleotides) under uncultured bacterium. RNAcentral's name for it is "bacterial SSU rRNA". It matches the Rfam family "Bacterial small subunit ribosomal RNA", at positions 384 to 1022 of the family's 1533-position model. The record is from RNAcentral.